CAGUGGCGAAGGCGUCUCACCAGAACGGACCUGACGGCAAGGGACGAAAGCUAGGGNCACGANCCGGAUUAGAUACCCGGGUAGUCCUAGCCGUAAACGAUACUCGCUAGGUGUCGGCCACGGUGCGACCGUUGUCGGUGCCGUAGGGAAGCCGUGAAGCGAGCCACCUGGGAAGUACGGCCGCAAGGCUGAAACUUAAAGGAAUUGGCGGGGGAGCACCACAACGGGUGGAGCUUGCGGUUUAAUUGGAUUCAACGCCGGAAAUCUUACCGGGACCGACAGCAAUAUGAAGGCCAGGCUGAAGACUUUGCCGGAUUAGCUGAGAGGUGGUGCAUGGCCGUCGUCAGUUCGUACUGUGAAGCAUCCUGUUAAGUCAGGCAACGAGCGAGACCCACGCCCACAGUUGCCAGCGUACUCUCUGGAGUGACGGGUACACUGUGGGGACCGCCGCUGCUAAAGCGGAGGAAGGAAUGGGCAACGGUAGGUCAGUAUGCCCCGAAUAUCCCGGGCUACACGCGAGCUACAAUGGUUGGUACAAUGGGUAUCUACCCCGAAAGGGGACGGGAAUCUCCUAAAACCAAUCUUAGUUCGGAUUGAGGGCUGCAACUCGCCCUCAUGAAGCUGGAAUCCGUAGUAAUCGCGUUUCAACAGAACGCGGUGAAUACGCCCCUGCUCCUUGCACACACCGCCCGUCAAACCACCCGAGUAGGGUCUGAAUGAGAGCGCUUUCUUUGGAGGCGUUCGAAUUUGGGCUUUGCAAGGGGGGUUAAGUCUAACAAG
Molecule: ribosomal RNA, 780 nt
Filed under: uncultured Methanosaeta sp.
Lineage: Archaea; Methanobacteriati; Methanobacteriota; Methanomicrobia; Methanotrichales; Methanotrichaceae
Description: bacterial SSU rRNA
Rfam family: Archaeal small subunit ribosomal RNA
Source: RNAcentral